RNAcentral lists this ribosomal RNA (490 nucleotides) under uncultured bacterium. RNAcentral describes it as "partial 16S ribosomal RNA". It matches the Rfam family "Bacterial small subunit ribosomal RNA", at positions 30 to 507 of the family's 1533-position model. The record is from RNAcentral.
AUUGAACGCUGGCGGCAGGCCUAACACAUGCAAGUCGAACGGUAACAGGAAGCAGCUUGCUGCUUUGCUGACGAGUGGCGGACGGGUGAGUAAUGUCUGGGAAACUGCCCGAUGGAGGGGGAUAACUACUGGAAACGGUAGCUAAUACCGCAUAACGUCGCAAGACCAAAGAGGGGGACCUUAGGGCCUCUUGCCAUCGGAUGUGCCCAGAUGGGAUUAGCUAGUAGGUGGGGUAACGGCUCACCUAGGCGACGAUCCCUAGCUGGUCUGAGAGGAUGACCAGCCACACUGGAACUGAGACACGGUCCAGACUCCUACGGGAGGCAGCAGUGGGGAAUAUUGCACAAUGGGCGCAAGCCUGAUGCAGCCAUGCCGCGUGUAUGAAGAAGGCCUUCGGGUUGUAAAGUACUUUCAGCGGGGAGGAAGGGAGUAAAGUUAAUACCUUUGCUCAUUGACGUUACCCGCAGAGGAAGCACCGGCUAACUCCGUG